This 200-nucleotide unclassified non-coding RNA is filed under the name Cladophialophora sp. Its description in RNAcentral is "partial internal transcribed spacer 2". The record is from RNAcentral. Lineage: Eukaryota; Fungi; Ascomycota; Eurotiomycetes; Chaetothyriales; Herpotrichiellaceae.
UUAAGUUCAGCGCGUAUUCCUACCUGAUCCGAGGUCAACCUUGAGAAGUUUCCUGCUGAGAGGAGAAGACCGGGUCCCGGGCGCCCUUGUCCGGUACGUGCUCGGUGAGAAGCUCAGUGUACCGGGGGAACCACAGGCCGCCGUCAUUGUCUUUCGGAGGGGUCGAUCGCUCGACCGGCCGUCCAACACCAAGCACGGGG